GCGUGUCGUCAGCUCGUGUCGUGAGAUGUUGGGUUAAGUCCCGUAACGAGCGCAACCCUUGUCCUUAGUUACCAGCACGUUAUGGUGGGCACUCUAAGGAGACUGCCGGUGACAAACCGGAGGAAGGUGGGGAUGACGUCAAGUCAUCAUGGCCCUUACGGCCUGGGCUACACACGUGCUACAAUGGUCGGUACAAAGGGUUGCCAAGCCGCGAGGUGGAGCUAAUCCCAUAAAACCGAUCGUAGUCCGGAUCGCAGUCUGCAACUCGACUGCGUGAAGUCGGAAUCGCUAGUAAUCGUGAAUCAGAAUGUCACGGUGAAUACGUUCCCGGGCCUU
RNAcentral lists this ribosomal RNA (336 nucleotides) under uncultured Pseudomonas sp. Its description in RNAcentral is "bacterial SSU rRNA". It matches the Rfam family "Bacterial small subunit ribosomal RNA", at positions 1048 to 1382 of the family's 1533-position model. Lineage: Bacteria; Pseudomonadati; Pseudomonadota; Gammaproteobacteria; Pseudomonadales; Pseudomonadaceae. The record is from RNAcentral.